UACGUAGGGCGCAAGCGUUGUCCGGAUUUACUGGGCGUAAAGAGCUCGUAGGCGGUCUGUCGCGUCGGAUGUGAAAUCCCGGAACUCAACUCCGGGCCUGCAUUCGAUACGGGCAGACUUGAGUACUGCAGGGGAGACUGGAAUUCCUGGUGUAGCGGUGGAAUGCGCAGACAUCAGGAGGAACACCGGUGGCGAAGGCGGGUCUCUGGGCAGAAACUGACGCUGAGGAGCGAAAGCGUGGGGAGCGAACAGG
Molecule: ribosomal RNA, 253 nt
Filed under: uncultured bacterium
Lineage: Bacteria
Description: partial 16S ribosomal RNA
Rfam family: Bacterial small subunit ribosomal RNA
Source: RNAcentral